CGGCGGACGGGUGAGUAACGCGUGGGUAACCUGCCUCAUACAGGGGGAUAACAGUUUGAAAUGACUGCUAAUACCGCAUAAGACCACGGUACCGCAUGGUACAGUGGUAAAAACUCCGGUGGUAUGAGAUGGACCCGCGUCUGAUUAGGUAGUUGGUGGGGUAACGGCCUACCAAGCCGACGAUCAGUAGCCGACCUGAGAGGGUGACCGGCCACAUUGGGACUGAGACACGGCCCAG
RNAcentral lists this ribosomal RNA (238 nucleotides) under uncultured bacterium. RNAcentral's name for it is "partial 16S ribosomal RNA". It matches the Rfam family "Bacterial small subunit ribosomal RNA", at positions 96 to 334 of the family's 1533-position model. The record is from RNAcentral.